AUAAGAAAGUGCAAGAUCAAUGACAGAAACAAUGAUUACAGCGAAUUAUUUAAUUAUUCCUUCACAGACAUUGCACUACGCACAGACCGAGAAAGCAAAAUGAGGACACCAACCGUCGCUGGGAAGGAAUGGGAAUGUGAAAAGGUGUCAGGGUAGUGAGGUGGUCUGAGGUCGAUCUCUCUCUCUCUCUCUGUUGCUAAGCCUAUUAUGCUGGCCUCCCUCGGGAUCUUACUUUGUUUCUUGAUUUGAAUUAAAUUAAUUGAUUAAGGAUCCAGAAAUGGUGGUAUCGGAUGGCCCCAUCAUCAGCGUUGGACAGGUUGCGUUUUUUCUGGGAAUUAUUCCCAUUUUUGUGGCAUGGAUAUAUUCGGAGUUCCUAGAGUACAAGAAAACUUCAUCCCUUUCCAAACUGUGAGUUUAAUCAA
Populus euphratica (Euphrates poplar) is the source of this 422-nucleotide long non-coding RNA. RefSeq lists it as uncharacterized. The transcript has 3 exons. NCBI's taxonomy places the organism in Eukaryota, Viridiplantae, Streptophyta, Magnoliopsida, Malpighiales, Salicaceae. The record is from RefSeq and is a predicted model, not a curated record.